UUUAAUUCGAAGCAACGCGAAGAACCUUACCUGGUCUUGACAUCCCUCUGACUGGUGAGUAAUGUCACCUUUCUUUCGGGACAGAGGAGACAGGUGGUGCAUGGUUGUCGUCAGCUCGUGUCGUGAGAUGUUGGGUUAAGUCCCGCAACGAGCGCAACCCUUAUCCUUAGUAGCCAGCAGGUAAAGCUGGGGACUCUAGGGAGACUGCCGGGGAUAACCCGGAGGAAGGUGGGGAUGACGUCAAAUCAUCAUGCCCCUUAUGACCAGGGCUACACUCGUGCUACAAUGGCGUAAACAGAGGGAAGCGAAGGGGAGACUUGGAGCAAAUCCCAAAAAUAACGUCUCAGUUCGGAUUGUAGUCUGCAACUCGACUACAUGAAGCUGGAAUCGCUAGUAAUCGCGAAUCAGAAUGUCG
RNAcentral lists this ribosomal RNA (415 nucleotides) under uncultured bacterium. RNAcentral describes it as "bacterial SSU rRNA". It matches the Rfam family "Bacterial small subunit ribosomal RNA", at positions 945 to 1359 of the family's 1533-position model. The record is from RNAcentral.